This is a long non-coding RNA of Esox lucius (northern pike), 1196 nucleotides long. Lineage: Eukaryota; Metazoa; Chordata; Actinopteri; Esociformes; Esocidae. The record is from Ensembl.
CUUCACACUGACAAAGUCAAACAAAAUUCAAGAGUACAAGACUUUGGUACGGUAAUUUGAAGGUAUUACACGGUCCAAUCAACGACGGGAUUGCAACAUCUCCCAACCAAUCAAAAGUCUCCGUGUUGCCCUGCAUGCCUUCUUUUUUGGAUCCUUACCUUAGCUAGCUGUCUACAUAAAUGCGGAAUUGCAUUUUCUGCCAACCUAUCCAAGCAUAGUAAGAACGUUUAUACGAUGUAUAUCUUUGAAACAAUGAAACAGUGGAUGUCUACAGUAGGAAAACGUUUCAUGAACACUUUCGUCUUCAUCUAGCGGCAGUUGUCUCUGCCAUGUCUCAUUGCAACAAUUCCCAAUGGAUCUGGCGUAGUUGGGAUAAGAAUCAGUUUUAUUGGCAAGUAUGUUUCACAACACACAAGGAAUUAUUUCUGGUCCAUUGGUGCAAUGUUUUUUAUAAAAGGAAUAAGGGAAAUAAAAACAAAUAAGAACAGUGGACUGAGCAUAAAUACAGUAGACUGAACAUUAAUUAAUUACAAAUAAUGUUAGGUGCAAGAUUUGUCCAGUUGAGGGUUGUGUGUGUAUUUGGGGAGGUGUGCUAGAUUUGUCAAGUUCAGGGUUGUGUGUCUAUGUGGGGAAUGGGAUAUAGUCUUUGAUUCUGGGGGCAUGUUCACAAGGCCUACUGCUAUAGAAAAUACACUGUUCUGGUGGUGAAAGGUUUUGGUCCUGAUAGACCUAAACCUUCUGCCAGAUGGGAGAGCUCUGAAUUGUCCAUUUCCAGGAUGAGAGGGAUCAGCCCCAAUCAUUUAAGCUUUCCACUGUGUCCUGGAGGUCUGAUUAGGUCGUGUAGAGAUGGCAGAUUGUAGCCAGUAACCUCUCUGGAGUGUGGAUGAUGUUAAGGUUAGUGGCAGGCUUUCCUCGUAAUCAUAAAGAUGUUAUGCUUUUUUCACACUGCUCGUCCAUUAAGCAAGUUGAAUGUAGAUUAACACGUUUGAAAGCAAGACCACUAAUCCAACGUCCUCACUAUAGCACACUGGAACCAGAAAAUCCCUGUUUACAGUGCCUACCCUUCCUGAGCAAGGCUUGACAUUUUGCGUGGCCCAUGGGGCUUCCAAGCCAUUUGUCAGCUAGCUGCACAGUCAAGACUUGAACUUGGUGUUCAACCUGUUGCUAUUAAAGUGUGCCUUAGCUUUCAGCGCCAG